RNAcentral lists this ribosomal RNA (253 nucleotides) under uncultured bacterium. RNAcentral's name for it is "partial 16S ribosomal RNA". It matches the Rfam family "Bacterial small subunit ribosomal RNA", at positions 524 to 776 of the family's 1533-position model. The record is from RNAcentral.
UACGUAGGGGGCAAGCGUUGUCCGGAUUUAUUGGGCGUAAAGAGCGUGUAGGCGGCCAGGUAGGUCCGCUGUGAAAACUCGAGGCUCAACCUCGAGAUGUCGGCGGAAACCAUCUGGCUAGAGUCCGGAAGAGGAGAGUGGAAUUCCUGGUGUAGCGGUGAAAUGCGCAGAUAUCAGGAAGAACACCAAUAGCGAAGGCAGCUCGCUGGGACGGUACUGACGCUAAGGCGCGAAAGCGUGGGGAGCGAACAGG